AUGCACCUCACAGAGCUGGAAGAAAAGAACGUGGAACUGAAUAAUCAGCUGUCACAGUUUCAAUCUGCUCUUCAGCAGGCCGAACUGGUCUCUUCAAGCCGUGCAGGAAAACUUCAGGAGCUCAGCACCCAGAUCCAGGCCCUGCAGGAUGCAGUGACAGAGAAGGCAGCUCAGCAGGACACUCAAGAGAAGGAGCUGCUGCAGGAGCUGGAAAAGUCCCGAGUAAGAGAACAGAGCUUGAGGGACGCUAUGAAUGUGCUGCAGGUUGAGAUGUCUGGGCUGCGUCUGAGGCUCCAGAGCUCUGAGGAAAGAGCAGAGGCCAUGGCCACACACUGUGAGGCCAUGGAGAUGGAGCUGAGGAUGGCUCAGGCUGACAACAACCAAAUCAAGGCCUGCAAUCAGGAGCUGCAGACACUGUUGGAGGAAACUCAGCAAGCAUUAUGGAGGGCAGAACACCAGAAAAUCUUUCUAAGAACGGGCCUGAAGGAAGAGGCCACUGCCCUGAAGAAAGAGGCUGUGACUGUUCGUCAGGAGAUGGAAUAUCUUCGGAGGAAACUGGAGAGCCAGGAGAAGGAAAGGAAGGAUGUGCUGCAUGAACGGGAAUUGUGCCAACAGAAGCUGAGGGGUCUGGAAAAGAAGAUGGAAACGGGUGCACCUGACACGAAGAGUCGGAAGAAGAUAAUCCAGGAAUUGGAAGUGGAGGGGGAAGAUAUGCAAGAAGAGUUGGACCAUGGGACUGCUGCUGCCUUGAAGACGAGUGGAAGAGAAGAAAUCAAAGGGACAGAGAUUGGACAGCUUCUGACUUCUGCACUGAGGAAGAGCGAAAUGGCCAAAGGGACAUUGAAGAAAAAGAUAGUGAUGCUGCAGAAAAAAUCUCCUGACAACUGCAUGAGCCAGUCUCAUGUCCAGGUGCUGCAGGAAGAGCAGAAUGAGAAGAGGGCUUUAACAGAGACACUGCUCCAAACUCAGGGAGAGCUCAGCCAAGCGUGCCAGCAGGUCCAGCAGCUCAGGCAGGAGGUGAAAGAGCAGCAAGAGAAGGAACGGACCAUCAAGGCAAAGCUGCAAGCUGAGCUGCAGGAAGCUCACAAUGAAAUGCUGGCAGUGCAGAGGAGGCACAAGGAAGACCUUCAGGGCAUCAGAGAGGAGAUGAAUGUCCUCCUCAAACAGAGGGAUGCUCUACAAAAGCAGGUGGAUGAGUUGACAUCUCAGCUGGCAGCCUCCCGAGAGUUCCAGGAAAGCACAGUCCAGAGAGCCCAGCAAGAUGUGAGCAAGGCCCAGGAACAGUUGCAGCAGAAGAUGUUGGAGACUGAGCACAUCCAAAAGAGGCUGGAGGAGGCAGAACAAGAGAAGAAGGAGCUCCAAGUGCUGCUACAGAUAAUGGAGAAGGAAUCGAAACAAUGGGAAGAAGUGGCACGCCAAAAUUCAGAACUGCAAGCUUUCAUGCAGCUCCUAGACAGUGAAAAUGACAGGCUGAUUCUGUCUCUGGAGGAAAAGAAUGUGUGCCUCAGAUCACUGGAAGAAAAGAACCAGGCGCUGAAGGAUCAGCUGUCUCAGUUUCAUUCUGCUCUUCAGCAGGCCAAACUGGUCUCUUCAAUUUGUGCCAGGAAAACUGCAGAAGCUCAACACCCAGGUAAGCUGUGCACUCCAUCCUCUUCUCCAGGGACACACAACACCACCUUUGGCAUGCUAGUCCCAACCUCUUUCCCCUCCCAGCAGCAUCCACAUGUUCUUCCCAGGCCUGCUGCUGCUGCUGCACCCUCAGGCCAAGGCUGGAUCUGGUGUCUGCUGCCAAAGUUUUCCCCCAUUCUCUCCUGGGGCCCAGCAGGAAAUCUGGGAGCAGAAGCAGCAGCACACUCCUCUGGAGCUUCUCUGUCCCUCUGUUAGCAGUGCUGUCCCUGACAGGAUUGGUGCCUGUGCCAGGCACUGAGCAAUGUGGGGACACAGACGUGGCUAUGGCAGGCUGGGCAGGGCACUUCCACCACAGCCAGUUCAGCCCGUGUUCAGAGCUGCAGCCUCAAGGAUGCCCCUUGCCUCCCUUCCCCUGUUUUCUCUACCUUUGUCUCUACUGGAUUCCUGGUUCUGCACCUUCUGUUUCUGGUGUAUUUCUACCUGAAGUCAUUUCUCCUUCAAUGCUCUCCUCCCUACUGCCCGCUCUGCUGCCUCAGGAGCAGCCCAGUCCCUGAGGCUCUCUGCAUCCAUCUUCCAGAUCCAGGCCCUGCAGGAUGCAGUGACAGAGAAGGCAGCUCAGCAGGACACUCAAGAGAAGGAGCUGCUGCAGGAGCUGGAAAAGUCCCAAGCAGGAGAACAGAGCUUGAGGGACGCUGUGCAUGUGCUGCAGGUUGAGAUGUCUGAGCUGCGUCUGAGGCUCCAAAGCUCUGAGGAAAGAGCAGAGGCCAUGGCCACACACUGUGAGGCCAUGGAGAUGGAGCUGAGGAUGGCUCAGGCUGACAACAACCAAAUCAAGGCCUGCAAUCAGGAGCUGCAGACACUGUUGGAGGAAACUCAGCAAGGUACAACUUCUCUCCCAUCCAUUGCCCCAUCCUGUUCCACCAGCGGGGAUCUCUGAUCCCAUGCAGAGGUAAAGGCCUUUGCCCAGAGAUGGCAGACAGGAAAAACAACCAGCACGAGACUUAUCCAUCCAGGCGCCAGUCAAAGUUUAUCUCAAGGAUGAUGCUGUGGCUGGCGGUGCCAACUGGCUCUGCUGUGGCUGAUCCCAUACACAGCUGGUGCCUUUCAGGUGCUGUGUCUGUGCUAAGCAGCUGAAGCUGGAUGCCUCAGCUCAAUUCCCCCAAAUUUCAGGCCCUGUCAAAGCCUCCAGGCUAUUGGCCUCUCUGGAGCAGGGCUGCACAGGCAUCCCAGCUGCUUUGUCUCUCUUGGAUUGUUC
This is a long non-coding RNA of Cyanistes caeruleus (blue tit), 2884 nucleotides long. Lineage: Eukaryota; Metazoa; Chordata; Aves; Passeriformes; Paridae. The record is from Ensembl.